This 72-nucleotide transfer RNA is filed under the name Ovis aries (sheep). It matches the Rfam family "tRNA". Rfam says of the family: Transfer RNA (tRNA) molecules are approximately 80 nucleotides in length. Their secondary structure includes four short double-helical elements and three loops (D, anti-codon, and T loops). Further hydrogen bonds mediate the characteristic L-shaped molecular structure. tRNAs have two regions of fundamental functional importance: the anti-codon, which is responsible for specific mRNA codon recognition, and the 3' end, to which the tRNAs corresponding amino acid is attached (by aminoacyl-tRNA synthetases). tRNAs cope with the degeneracy of the genetic code in two manners: having more than one tRNA (with a specific anti-codon) for a particular amino acid; and 'wobble' base-pairing, i.e. permitting non-standard base-pairing at the 3rd anti-codon position. Lineage: Eukaryota; Metazoa; Chordata; Mammalia; Artiodactyla; Bovidae. The record is from Rfam by way of RNAcentral.
UCUCUGGUGGUCCAGAGGCUAAGACUCUGUGCUCCCAAUGCAGGGGCCCAGGUUCGAUUCCUGGUCAAGAAA